Molecule: ribosomal RNA, 1957 nt
Filed under: Nisia atrovenosa
Lineage: Eukaryota; Metazoa; Arthropoda; Insecta; Hemiptera; Meenoplidae
Description: eukaryotic LSU rRNA
Rfam family: Eukaryotic large subunit ribosomal RNA
Source: RNAcentral
CUCACCUGCCGAAGCAACUAGCCCUGAAAAUGGAUGGCGCUAUAGCGUCGUGCCUAUACCGGGCCGUCAACGGCAAAGUGGGGCGGGUCGUUCUCCUCCCGGAGGCGGUCCCGUCCGUUACGCCUUGACGAGUAGGGUGGUCGCGGCGGUGUGCGCAGAAGGGUCUGGGCGUGAGCCUGCCUGGAGCCGCCGUCGGCGCAGAUCUUGGUGGUAGUAGCAAAUACUCUAGCGAGGACCUGGAGGACUGAUGUGGAGAAGGGUUUCUUGUGAACAGCCGUUGCACAAGAGUCAGUCGACCCUAAGCCCUAGGAGAAAUCCGAUGUCGAUGGAGAGUAAAUACGCAGUCUGCUCUGUGCGAGCGUGCUCAUGUACUGAAUAUCUCCCGGCUGGGCGAAAGGGAAUCCGGUUCCUAUUCCGGAACCCGGCUGCGGAACCGCAACUUCGCGGGCGUUCGCCUGCGAGCGCUCGUCGGGGUAACCCAAAGUGGCCCGGAGACUCCGGCGGGAGGUCUGGAAAGAGUUUUCUUUUCUUUAUAAGCGUUCGAGUUCCCUGGAAUCCUAUUGCAGGGAGAUAGGGUUUGGAACGCGAAGAGCACCGCAGUUGCGGCGGUGUCUGGACCUUCCCCCCGGACCUUGAAAAUCCGGGUGAGGGCUACGCGGAAUGUCGCGCCGGAUCGUACCCAUAUCCGCAGCAGGUCUCCAAGGUUAAGAGCCUCUAGUCGAUAGAAUAAUGUAGGUAAGGGAAGUCGGCAAAUUGGAUCCGUAACUUCGGAACAAGGAUUGGCUCUGAGGAUCGGGGCGUGUCGGGCUUGGUCGGGAAGCGGUUUUGCGCCAACGAGCCGGGCCUGGGCGAGGCAUUACGGGCGGUCUUCUGGACCACCGGAAACCAGCUCGGUCCCGAGCCUUGGCCUCCCGCGGAUCUUCCUUGCUGCGGGGUGUCCGUCGCAUCAGGGCUGCUCGUUUCGGCCAGUCGGCUCCGCCGGCUCGGUCGGGCGACGCCUGCGCGGAUUUCUAAACCCUUCGGCCGCCAUUUAACGAUCAACUCAGAACUGGCACGGACAAGGGGAAUCCGACUGUCUAAUUAAAGCAAAGCAUUGCGAUGGCCCCAGCCGGGUGUUAACGCAAUGUGAUUUCUGCCCAGUGCUCUGAAUGUCAAUGUGAAGAAAUUCAAGAAAGCGCGGGUAAACGGCGGGAGUAACUAUGACUCUCUUAAGGUAGCCAAAUGCCUCGUCAUCCAAUUAGUGACGCGCAUGAAUGGAUUAACGAGAUUCUCUCUGUCCCUAUCUACUAUCUAGCGAAACCACUGCCAAGGGAACGGGCUUGGAAAAAUCAGCGGGGAAAGAAGACCCUGUUGAGCUUGACUCUAAUCUGGCAUUGUAAGGAGACAUGAGAGGUGUAGCAUAAGUGGGAGGGGCGGAUCUGCCUCCGGGCUCCCGUUCCGCCAGUGAAAUACCACUACUUUCAUCGUUUCCUUACUUACUCGACCGGGCGGAGAGCGCGUCCUCGUGGGUUAACGCCCCGAAGGAACGGUGUUCUCGCGCCAAGCGUCCGAGGGUUGUCGCGAGGCGUGUCGCCCGUAAGGUGCGCAGGCGCCCGUCGCGUGGCCCUCGCGGUCCCGCCGGCGGUCAACGUCUCGUGCCGUGACCGGGCGCCGUCGUCCGGCAAAUACUCCCCCGAGUGAUCCGAUUCGAGGACACUGCCAGGUGGGGAGUUUGACUGGGGCGGUACAUCUGUCAAACGAUAACGCAGGUGUCCUAAGGCCAGCUCAGCGAGGACAGAAACCUCGCGUAGAGCAAAAGGGCAAAUGCUGGUUUGAUCCCGACGUCCAGUGGGCGUAGGGACUGCGAAAGCAGGGCCUGUCGAUCCUUUUGGCUUGAAGAGAUUUCAGCAAGAGGUGUCAGAAAAGUUACCACAGGGAUAACUGGCUUGUGGCGGCCAAGCGUUCAUAGCGACGUCGC